AACGAACGCUGGCGGCAUGCCUAACACAUGCAAGUCGAGCGAGACCUUCGGGUCUAGUGGCGCACGGGUGCGUAACGCGUGGGAACCUGCCCUUAGGUUCGGAAUAACUCCCCGAAAGGGGUGCUAAUACCGGAUAAUGUCUUCGGACCAAAGAUUUAUCGCCUUUGGAUGGACCGCGUUGGAUUAGCUAGUUGGUAGGGUAAAAGCCUACCAAGGCGACGAUCCAUAGCUGGUCUGAGAGGAUGAUCAGCCACACUGGGGCUGAGACACGGCCCAGACUCCUACGGGAGGCAGCAGUGGGGAAUAUUGGACAAUGGGCGAAAGCCUGAUCCAGCAAUGCCGCGUGAGUGAUGAAGGCAUUAGGGUUGUAAAGCUCUUUUAACCGGGAUGAUAAUGACAGUACCGGGAGAAUAAGCUCCGGCUAACUCCGUG
This 432-nucleotide ribosomal RNA is filed under the name uncultured bacterium. RNAcentral's name for it is "partial 16S ribosomal RNA". It matches the Rfam family "Bacterial small subunit ribosomal RNA", at positions 29 to 507 of the family's 1533-position model. The record is from RNAcentral.